UCUGCUGUCACGCAUAACAUUCAUUAUUUGACCGUAUUUCAAAGAUAAACAAAAUCCAGUUACAACUCCGAACCGCUAGAUGGCAGAGUACACAAACACGGGGCCAUAUCUCACGAGAAAGAUUUCCGCUGUUUGAAAAUCAACAACAUCAGCGAGCAGCCAGGAGGAAAGCAAUCGACCACACUCGUUUGGUCUUGUGUCAAAGCUGUGCGAAACUGGAGGGAGAAACUUGAGAGACCGUGCCGGAAGAAUGCUGGACAGAGUUCACUAAAAUUCAUUAAUUUCAAAGUUCAACAUGAAUGGUGGUGGUCCACUGCAGAAGCAAGCAUUUGAAAAAACAUCACUUCUCAGUUAUUAAAGAUGCUGUGUUGAACAACUUCCCAGCAGCAACAGAACUGGAAGUGAAGGAUGCAAUGGGGGCAUUUCAAACAGUCACCAGGCAGCACGGGGGGGGGGG
Molecule: long non-coding RNA, 457 nt
Organism: Paramisgurnus dabryanus
Lineage: Eukaryota; Metazoa; Chordata; Actinopteri; Cypriniformes; Cobitidae
Source: RefSeq, a predicted model, not a curated record